This 382-nucleotide long non-coding RNA is filed under the name Vulpes vulpes (red fox). Its description in RNAcentral is "lncRNA (ENSVVUG00000010138.1)". The record is from RNAcentral. Lineage: Eukaryota; Metazoa; Chordata; Mammalia; Carnivora; Canidae.
AUGUAUAGGAAGCUUUAUAUAUUCUUUGAAGAAGGGCAGAUGAAAGAGUCUCUCCAAAUGCAAGGUAUCUUACUUGCUUGCCAAGGCAAGUCCUCUUAUAAAAGGGAGGCUUUAAAAGUCUGUCAAAGGAUACUACCAAGAGGGUGGAUUCAUUAUUUUAAAGCCCUUUCAGGGUCCUCCUACCAUUGCAUUCUUCAUGAACUUCUUUGGAUGGUGACUUGGAAGCAUCCCUCCAGGUGUGGUACUUCUUCCUCCUGACAACAGAGGACUUGGUGUGGAAUUCUCUGAGAUGUCUCCUUGCCUUCACUCUGCACUAGGGGCCACAGACAAGAGCUUUGCCCAGGAAAUGAAAAUAAAAGCCAUAUCCUAUGAGGGUUGGACA